This 18601-nucleotide long non-coding RNA is filed under the name Populus tremula. RNAcentral's name for it is "long non-coding RNA (PTRE_LNC003444)". The record is from RNAcentral. Lineage: Eukaryota; Viridiplantae; Streptophyta; Magnoliopsida; Malpighiales; Salicaceae.
AAUUUUGAAAUAUCACAGAAAAAAACACAAAACCUAAACGUAAACCUAAAACCCAUUUUUUUUAAGGCAGCCGCCGCCCCCUCCCCCUGGUUUUAAUUUUUUUUCGACAGCUGCCGGCCACAAGAAAAAAUCCAAGACAGCUCCCCGAUCCUCCUCUCGGCUGUUUCUCCCUUUCUUCUCCUUCGGCUACUCAUCCUUCAGAAACCAGAGCCGGCUUAUUCUCCCCUUUCCACUUUCAAAGCCAGCAGCCCCCACCUCUCCUUCAUUUCUUUCUCCAGCUUCUCCCCUCAACCAUGGCCGCCCCUAUUUUUUCAAAAAAAUAGAAAAACACCACUUGAAAACAAAGACAGCCCCGAACCCCUCCCUCUUUUUUCUUCUCCUCAGCCGCCGGACAAGCCUCACCCCAGGCCAUUUUUUUUUUUCGUUUCUCUUCUCCCUUCAGCCGGGCGGAUCUUCAGCUCCCUUCAACAGAAAAUAGAAGGAAAGCCCCCGCUACUCCCAUUUCCUUAUCUCCCUUUCAGCAGCGGCUCCUCCCCACAGAGCCGUUCUCCCACCUCCACCAAGCCACCGAUCUGCCACCCGAAGCAGAGGAGAAGAAGACGAAACCCAGCGCCCACCGGACAAGCAGCAGCAAGGCCAGCCACCGCUGUUCCUUUCCCCAGCAGCGUCGCUCCCCCUUUUUGCAACCGCCAGAUCCACCACCAGAAAUAGAGGAGAAGAAGACACCCACAACCGCCGGCCAUCUGAACAGAAGAAGAGGUAACGGAAACAAUCUGCAGAGAGGGGCAGAUCGAAGACGGCGGAGAAAGAAAGAACAACAAAAAAACAGAUUUGAAAAAACUAAGAAAAAACUUAAAAUCGACUGCCCUUGCUGUCUGUGUUUUUUUAUUUACAGGUAACACCGGCGAGGACGGGAAGAGGGGAUGAAGCUGCCACCAGACCUCCUGCUGCGUUUUUUUCGGGGCGGCGCGUGAGCCCACGCGCCGCCAGUCACGGCGGUGCGUGGGGUCCACGCGCCGCUGCUGUUCAGGCAGCCCAGAACUGUUCCUGAAGGGUUUUCCAGCACUGUUAUGGAUUGUUUAGGGACCAUUUUGUAAAUUUUAAAGUUUUAAUGUAAUUUUUGUUUAUUUAUUUUAAAUUUGUAAUAUGUGAAUGUAAAAAAAAAAAAAGAAGAAAAGAAAAGAAAAUAAUAAUAAAAAAGGGGAUGUGUGUGUUGGUGUAUUUUAUUUAUUUAUUUUGAAUUUGAAUUUGUAUUUGUAUUUGUAUUGUGGAUGUAAAAGAAAAGAAAGAAAAAAAAGAAAAAAAAGAAAAAAUAGUGAAACUGUAUGUGUAUAUGUGUUUGUAUUUUAUUUUUAUUUAUUUGUUUUUUUUUUUUACGAUAAAAUUGCAAAAUAUAUUAAAGAAGAAUUUAAUAUUUUGAUCGGAUCACGGUUAAGAAUUAUUAACUUAUACGUAAGUGAUAUUUCUAAUUUCCGACGAAAAGACAAUUAUUAAAACUUCUUUAACACGUCAAAGCCACGAAGCAGCUUACCUCAGGUAGGGUGCGUUAGGGGUGCUAAUACCUUCCCUAACCACAACCAGUUCCUUACCCGCGAAUCUCUGACAGGACCAGUGCAUCCGGUUUCCUAGUAGCCUUCAAUAAAUUACUAGGUGGCGACUCUAACGAACGAAUUCAAAACAAACGCAACAACGAGAUGAAAAAUCGCCAACCGAUGCCGCGCGCUGAUUUUUUGGGGUGCGACAGAAUGGCGACUCCACUGGGGAAGGUAUUUUUUCCGAUUAUUGGACUAAGCUUUGUGUAUUUGAUGUGUUUAAGUUUUUGCAUUUUUAUCUUUUUGUUAAUAUUUAUUUCCAUGCAUUUUAUAGAAUUGUCUCAUGCAUCACCUGUAUUUAUUUUUAAAAGCACACACAAGCUUCUAGGUUAGGUGGGGAACUAGCGAUCUGCCCUAAGACUAUUGGUCAGGGUUCAGAUGCGUGAAACACCCAACUCAUAUCUGAGUGCCUGCUUGGUAAUGGUGGGUAUAUGUGCCUUACCCUUUCCUUGCAACGCCCCCAAACUGUCUUUACGAAGAACGUCACUGGGCAGAUAUGAGACCCUUUUGAGACCAGAUAGAAAAAUUACCCAUGUUCACAUAAUGAAUAGAACCUGUCCUUAGGUUGUAUGUGCUAUCGUUUUUUGCAUAAGGGCAAACCCUUCUUGAAGCAUCUUGAACUCAAGACUUGUGGGUGACACAUUGGUCGUUGCUCCGAAAAUUUUCAUUGUAGAGUUUGGGCAAAAAUCACGAUUCUUGUCCAUCAUACAAGAGUUACGACCAUAUUGUCACCUCUCGAAGGGAGAGUUCAUCAUAUAGAUUACAUGUUCAUACAUUUAUCAUGCAUGAACCGGGUCGAAACGUAGGUCCCUUGUACAAGUUGUGCUGCACGAGAUUGAAGAAAAAUAAUGGAAGUGAACAAAGGAGUCAGAUAUAGGUUCAGUAUCAGAUUAAGGUUGAGAGCAUCAAGAGUGAAGUAGCGGGACUCAGAUCUGCUCGAACAAGUGUUGAGCAUCAAAUGAAAAGAGAAUGUCUGCACAGUUUGCUGUGGGAACACUGCUUGUUCACGUCCAAUUGAAGAUGUACCUUUCCUUUUCAGUCAUGAACAACAGCAACAACGCCUUCAGUCAUCAACUAAUGACAACUCUGAUUCCUGUCCAGUUGCGCUGUUAAGUAUUCAUCGCCUCCACAUCAUCUAAUGGAACCAAACGACUACUAACCUCCUGUUCAUGGUGCAUUAGUCUGCUUUGAAGUUACCCCAAUUAUGAGCUCAAUUCCAGUUCAGCAGCACAAGAUGUUGGUCUAAAAAAAAAACCAUGAUCAGACACUGAAUUUCAACGCGGUAGAGCUCUCUCUGUAGAGAUUUAUUUGUGGAUCUGUCAAUGGCAAAUGCAAAAGGGAAUGUAUUAAUUUCAUAUGCUUUGAAACUAUUUCCCACCAGUGGCACCAGCAAAACAUUGUAGUAGGCAGAAGAGUCAGACCUGGUCUGAUAAUAUUAGUAGUUGUCAAACUUCAAUGUGGCAGAGCUCUCUCUACAAAAAUCCAUUUAUGGCUCUGCAAAUUGGGAAUGCAAGAGGGGAUUUACUAAUUGCAUAUGCUACAAAUAUUUCUCUCAUCAGUUUCAGCACGAAGAAACUAUAGCAGGUUGAAGAGCCAGACUUGGCUUGAAAAAUAUGAGCAGACAUCAAACUUCAACGUAGCAGAGCUCUCCGACAGGAAUCUGUUUGUGGAUCCGCAAGUGUGAAAUCCAAGAAGGAAUACAGUAGUUUCAGAUCAUUUAUGAUUUUUCUCCAACAGUGUCAGUAUUAAAAUGCAAAAGUAGAGAGAAGAUACAUGCCUAGACUGAAAAACAUGAAGAAUACUGAAACUUCAACAGAGCAGGACUUCCUCUAUAGGUGUUUGUUUGCUGCACUGUCAGUGAGAAAUUGAAGAGGGGACGAAGGAGUUUUAGAUUCAUCAGGUGCUCUUCCAAUAAAGACAAUGUGUGAUUCCACACGUCGGUAGUGGCGAUACUAGAAGUUUCUGGAUGCUGCCAAGAUUACCAAGCUGUUAGAAAGUUUUCUAACAAUCCUCAACCAACCAUAGCAACAUUGGAAGAUUGAAGGAUCUGCCAUGGAUUCUAGAACAAUGAUGAGAGGUGAAUCAGGAGAUGACUUUGACAGUGUAAACCCUUAAUUAUGUGGUAUAGCCAAGUCUCACGGCAUCAUCAAUUGCUCAAAAUAUCUUUGCCAAGAUGGGACAUUGCUCUGCCGUUUAAGUUGUCGACCAGCAUCCACAAGAUUCCAGAAUUUUGCUUGACUCCGACAAAUUCCCAUGCAACCACCAAUUUCUUAGUGGUAUAAUCCAGAUAAGAGAUGUGAUGUCAUGGUGGGGUCCUCAACCAUUUCAAGUGAACAGUUUCAAGAAUAGCAAGAAUUGAGUCUGGAAGUUGGUGAGCAAGAGACAGGUGGAGUCGUUGAAGAAGGGUGUCACUGGCUAUAUUGUUCCCCGAACAUCUUCAGAAGGACAUGUGAUCGAAAAUGCUUGGCAAAACACAGAUAUUGCCAGAAAAGCUGAUUCGAGAAGGGUGAUGAACAGUCAAUCAUAUUGUUAUGGAAUUCUGCAUUUUGUUUUGGGAUCACAUCUCAUCCUUCAACGAAACAUGCCUUGCUUUUGUCUCUUUGUUGUUUUGAAAUCAACAGAUGUUUAGCAUUUUAUUCUGACAAAAUAUUUUGAUCAAACUACAACAUGCGAUAAAGGUUAAUCAAUCCGGAAGAUUAGAAGUGUUUUGAUUACAGAAAUGACUCUAUGCUUGAAAAUGACAUGAGGUGACCAAACAAUUUUGAACUCAUACCUCCUGAAACUGAACCACACAUCAUAUAGCUAAGUUUUAACAGUAUGCAUAAUGACAUGUAGUGGAUUCGGUAGUCAUGGACUCGUGAAUCAUGAUUCUUACAAGUCCCAAUCAUUACACUGGAUGAGGUCAAAAUUUAUCGGUUAUAACCGACCUUGCUUGAAAUGAGAAAAGGCCAUCUUUGAUAUCCCUUCACUUUCUAAAGAUUAUAUCCCUUGCAGUCCCAUUUUGAGCCUGGUAAAAUAUUUUCUUUCAAAAAAAGAAACCCUGACUAGGAUCACACCCCACACUGGGGGCAAAUGAGAGAUAUUUUGGAGACAUUGAUAUAAUUAAUGGAUAAAGGGGAAGGCUUAGAACAAAGGUCCAAUGAUUGAGAGAGAGCUAAAAGAAAACACAUAGACUGGGGGCAUAUAAGAAAAUUUUGAGGAAGGCUAUGAAAAAAAAAAAAGAGAAUGAAAAAAGGAAGUUGAAAUUGCCUUCACUUAAAUACAAGUCAAAGAUAAAGGAAGGAGAACGCCUAUCAAGUCUAUGAAGAGCAAAAGAAAUUUCAAUCAAGGAAAGGCACAACAAAAGUCAAUACCAGAAAAAAGACUAAGCUAUAAGCGUUGACUUUUGGUAUCCGUUAUAAAACCUAUGAUGAUUUAAGGUUGGUUAUUCCUCAAAGAAAGUUGGAUUUGCAUUAUGACUUAUGUUAAGAAAAGUCGGAACUUUGAGGUUAACAAGGUUAUAUGUCGUUUCCUCUAUAAAGACAACAAUAGAAAACAAGUUGAUGAAUAGUUGAUGUUGAUCCUAGGUCUUUGAAACCCUCAAACACCUUUUGAGCCUGUGAAAUUCCUUUCUUUCAUAGCCAUGAACCAUAGCCUGCAUUACAUGCUUUUUAAAGCCCUUUUUAAUCAAGCAAGCAACUUGAACCGAUAAAUGGCGCUCUCAAAACUUGAAGAGUUUUUCCAUAAGAGUCGUGACUUCAUGAAUUAAGUUACCGGUCGUUAUGCAUGUUGAUAAAAUUAUUGCUAAAAACAAAACAUGUUUCCUUCAUGAAUCCUCAAGUUUUGACUUGAGCCUGUUGUUUUCCUUGAAAUUCACAGAAGGUCACCUCACCAUAAACUAUCAAAUGAUAUACCCAAUAUCAAGGAUUCAAAUUGAUACAAAGAACCAUGGAAAAAGCCAUUUUUAAUCCUACAUUGGGUCAAUUUCUGUUUUCAAAAUGCAUGACAAUCAAAGGACUAUAUAUUUCGAAUAAAAUGUGUUGGGCCUUUGAUCAAAAAGCUUGAUUUUCAAAAGAUUUUAAAAAAAAAAGACAUCUCUGAUUUCAUUUCAACAAAUUAGACUUUGAAUAGACAUGAUCUUUGAAAUAUGAGAGUUGAUUCCAAAACAAGGAAGAUCAUCAAACACAGAAGAACAUUGAUUGAGUAUGCAAAAUCGUUGAUAGAAAUGACAUUGAAGUCCUCGACACUCCUUGAAAAGUUGAGCAGCUGGGGGCAAUACAGUAGACCUUGAAAAGGAAAAACAAGCAGUGUUCAGAUCAGCUAUGAGGCAAUGAUUAAAUGAUGAAUCAGUGAACUGAAGACAAUGAUGUUCAGAGACAGAUAGUCAAUGAACGAGCACAUUCAGAUUAUGCCGGGGGCAUUGUCAUUCCAAAAUGGCCCAUGCUCUAGUGAACCCUGUCGGCAAUGGAGAAACAAGGAUGUAUUUGAAGGACACUUUCAUAUCAUCAUCUUUUGAAACAUGGCUAGCAAUCGAUGACGAUACACAGAUGAAUGUAAUUGGUGAAAAGAUGCACACCACCAAGACUGACUGUGGAACAAUGCUGCACUUAAAGGACUAUCUCAUAUUGUCAUUCUUUGAAACAUGGUUAUAGACAGAGGUUAUCACACAACUGCACUGAAUGAAUGUUGGAAAGGCACCCACCUCGAAGACUGAUUGUGGGACAUCUAUUCUGAAGCUCAAAUGCGCACUUCACCGCAUGAAUAUGGGUGAUAACAUGAACAUCAUUGAUGAUGCCAAAGCAGGUAUUUUCAUGAUCUGAUUUGACAAGCUAAGAGGAAUCCAUAGAGAAAUACAUCGCGCUUACAAUGAUGAGCUGUUUACUGCAAAGCAUGAGAUACAUGUCUGGAUGACUUGGCAGUUCCAUGAAGGCUGGUGACCAUACACACUUGAAUGGUGUUUCAACCGAAGGCAAGUUCAUGAUUGAUUAACAAACGUGAUGGGUGUUGGCAUGAUGCACACAAUCAAUCAGAGGAUAAUUUCUCAGAAGAAGCCAGGAGAGAAAAUCUCUCAUGAUGAAUCAAGCAGUACUACACUUGGGGGCAGGGUCAAGCUUCAUGAACGAUGCAAGCAAUAAUUGUCGAAGACAGCCCGGGAUGGGCACUGCAUUUACAGCUGAGUGGAUGGCUAACACAUGAAUGAGCCAAUAUAUCGGAAAAACAAAGAAAGCUUUGGGAUACAAACAAGGGCACCCUAUGACGAUGGAGCAUCAAAGAGGGGGGACCUAUUAUUUCAAAUCAGGUAAGGAUGCAUGCAUAUCAUCUAACCUCAAAAAAAAAAAAAAAAAAAACCAUUUGCACAGAUUUUUGAACUGUUACAGGAAAAUCCUUAAUGAGGUCCAGCAAGAUAGUGGAAAGAGAAAGAAGCAUUGUGGUGAUGAUAAUAAAGAAUCGGUUUUGAUCAUGGAAUAAAAGGACGAUGGGAUGAACCCUACCAUUAGGAAAAUCCCAAAGAAAUGAAUAGAUCAACCUUGCAACCGGGAAGCCUCGAGUUUUCAACCCUUGCAGUCAGGAAACAUCGAGUUUUCAAACCCCAUGAUCGGGAAUUAUCAGGAAGCACCAAGUCUUUCAGCCCUUUCUUCUGUCAUCCCUUCAGAACUUCGCCAGGUAAGCCCUAUUUUUCACACUUGUCAUAUCACAUUCUUUCCAUCUGGGUAGGUCACCCAUCAUAAUGAGACCAUUUUUGUUCACAUUCUUUCCACCUGGGUUGGUCACCCAUGACAAUGAGACCGUGUUUUUCACAUUUUUUCCAUCCGGGUAGGUCACCCAUGACAAUGAGACCACACUUCAUCAUUUUUUUUCCAUCUGGGUAGGUCACCCAUUACAAUGAGACCGCACUUCAUAUUUUCUCCAUCUGGGUAGGUCACCCAUACGAUGAGACCAUCAUUUUUCCGGGGUUCGUCACCCAUACAAUGAGACCAUCAUUUUUCUGGGUUCGUCACCCAUACAAUGAGACCAUCAUAUUUCUAGGGUUCGUCACCCGUACAAUGAGACCAGCAUUUUUCUAGGGUUCGUCACCCGUACAAUGAGACCAGCACUAGGGUUUGUCACCCGUACAAUGAGACCAGCAGCACUAGGGUUCGUCACCCGUACAAUGAGACCAUCAUUUUUCGAGGGUUAGUCACCCGUACAAUGAGACCAGAAUGAGGUCGCCAGAUGGGAUCUCAUGUAGCUUUGGUUAAAGGGAAUCGCCAGAUGGGAUUUCAGGUUAACCGAGUUACACAUAUUUCGUUUUAGUUGAAUGAGGUCGCCAGAUGGGAUCUCAUGUAACUUUGGUUAAAGGGAAUCGCCAGAUGGGAUUUCAGGUUAACCGAGUUACACAGUUUAGUUCCAAUUGAAUGAGGUCGCCAGAUGGGAUCUCAUGUAGCUUUGGUUAAAGGGAAUCGCCAGAUGGGAUUUCAGGUUAACCGAGUUACACACAUUUUCGUUCCAGUUGAAUGAGGUCGCCAGAUGGGAUCUCAGGUAGCUUUGGUUAAAGGGAAUAGCCAGAUGGGAUUUCAGGUUAACCGAGUUACACACAGUUUAGUUCCAAUUGAAUGAGGUCGCCAGAUGGGAUCUCAUGUAGCUUUGGUUAAAGGGAAUCGCCAGAUGGGAUUUCAGGUUAACCGAGUUACACAAUAUUUUCGUUCCAGUUGAAUGAGGUCGCCAGAUGGGAUCUCAGGUAAACCCAAUGUGUGGGCAGGUCGCCCGUGAAAAUAGACUAUUGGGAGAGUGUGGGUCGGUCGCCCGUGAAAAUAGACUAGAGUGAGUAUGUGUAGGCAGGUUGCCCAAGAUAAUGAAAUCAUUUUCCUUUUGUUUUCUUUACAAAGCUUACUAUGCAAAAUUUUAAGGAUUUUCGCUUCGUAAGCAUUGUAAAGAGGGGGCAUCUGUUGCUACCCAAUUUUUGACCCAUGUUUUUGAUAUAUUUUUCAAAAAAAUCCAAAAAUAGAGAAAAACAAUGAAAAUCCAAAAAAUAUGUUUUUUUUAAUAUAUUCUCGUCAUUUUAGCAUUUUCAGCGUCGUCUAAAAAGAUUUUAAUUUUUAUUUAAAGAAUUUAAUUUUUCAAAAGAUUUUCGAACGCGUUCGACUUUUCACGCGUCAUUUUUAAAAUCAUUGAUUUUCCGUAUUUUGAGUCGACGUUGAUAUUGCUCGUUUUCAAAAAAUACAAAAAAAAUAAUAAAAAUCAAAAUUUACAAAAAGAAAGAAGUUGAGGGACCAAGUUGAAAAACCUAGCAAAAUUUUGUCUAUAAAUACUGGUUUCCAACACUUGUAAAGGGGGGGGGGCAAUUUUGAAAUAUCACAGAAAAAAACACAAAACCUAAACGUAAACCUAAAACCCAUUUUUUUUAAGGCAGCCGCCGCCCCCUCCCCCCUGGUUUUAAUUUUUUUUCGACAGCUGCCGGCCACAAGAAAAAAAUCCAAGACAGCUCCCCGAUCCUCCUCUCGGCUGUUUCUCCCUUUCUUCUCCUUCGGCUACUCAUCCUUCAGAAACCAGAGCCGGCUUAUUCUCCCCUUUCCACUUUCAAAGCCAGCAGCCCCCACCUCUCCUUCAUUUCUUUCUCCAGCUUCUCCCCUCAACCAUGGCCGCCCCUAUUUUUUCAAAAAAAUAGAAAAACACCACUUGAAAACAAAGACAGCCCCGAACCCCUCCCUCUUGAUUUUCUUCUUCCUCAGCCGCCGGACAAGCCUCGCCCCAGGCCAUUUUUUUCUUCGUUUAUCUUCUCCCUUCAGCCGGGCGGAUCUUCAGCUCCUUUCAACAGAAAACAGAAGGAAAGCCCCCGCUACUCCCAUUUCCUUAUCUCCCUUUCAGCAGCGGCUCCUCCCCACAGAGCCGUUCUCCCACCUCCACCAAGCCACCGAUCUGCCACCCGAAGCAGAGGAGAAGAAGACGAAACCCAGCGCCCACCGGACAAGCAGCAGCAAGGCCAGCCACCGCUGUUCCUUUCCCCAGCAGCGUCGCUCCCCCUUUUUGCAACCGCCGGAUCCACCACCAGAAAUAGAGGAGAAGAAGACACCCACAACCGCCGGCCAUCUGAACAGAAGAAGAGGAAACGGAAACAAUCUGCAGAGAGGGGCAGAUCGAAGACGGCGGAGAAAGAAAGAACAAAAAAAAACAGAUUUGAAAAAACUAAGAAAAAACUUAAAAUCGACUGCCCUUGCUGUCUGUGUUUUUUUAUUUACAGGUAACACCGGCGAGGACGGGAAGAGGGGAUGAAGCUGCCACCAGACCUCCUGCUGCGUUUUUUUCGGGGCGGCGCGUGAGCCCACGCGCCGCCAGUCACGGCGGUGCGUCGGGUCCACGCGCCGCUGCUGUUCAGGCAGCCCAGAACUGUUCCUGAAGGGUUUUCCAGCACUGUUAUGGAUUGUUUAGGGACCAUUUUGUAAAUUUUAAAGUUUUAAUGUAAUUUUUGUUUAUUUAUUUUAAAUUUGUAAUAUGUGAAUGUAAAAAAAAAAAAGAAGAAAAGAAAAGAAAAUAAUAAUAAAAAAGGGGAUGUGUGUGUUGGUGUAUUUUCAUUUAUUUAUUUUGAAUUUGAAUUUGUAUUUGUAUUUGUAUUGUGGAUGUAAAAGAAAAGAAGAAAAAAAAAAAGAAAAAAAAAGAAAAAAUAGUGAAACUGUAUGUGUAUAUGUGUUUGUAUUUUAUUUUAUUUAUUUGUUUUUUUUACGAUAAAAUUGCAAAAUAUUAAAGAAGAAUUUAAUAUUUUGAUCGGAUCACGGUUAAGAAUUAUUAACUUAUACGUAAGUGAUAUUUCUAAUUUCCGACGAAAAGACAAUUAUUAAAACUUCUUUAACACGUCAAAGCCACGAAGCAGCUUACCUCAGGUAGGGUGCGUUAGGGGUGCUAAUACCUUCCCUAACCACAACCAGUCCUUACCCGCGAAUCUCUGACAGACCAGUGCAUCCGGUUUCCUAGUAGCCUUCAAUAAAUUACUAGGUGGCGACUCAACGAACGAAUUCAAAACACGCAACAACGAGAUGAAAAAUCGCCACCGAUGCCGCGCGCUGAUUUUUUGGGGUGCGACAGAAUGGCGACUCCACUGGGGAAGGUAUUUUUUCGAUUAUUGGACUAAGCUUUGUGUAUUUGAUGUGUUUAAGUUUUUGCAUUUUUAUCUUUUUGUUAAUAUUUAUUUCCAUGCAUUUUAUAGAAUUGUCUCAUGCAUCACCUGUAUUUAUUUUUAAAAGCACACACAAGCUUCUAGGUUAGGUGGGGAACUAGCGAUCUGCCCUAAGACUAUUGGUCAGGGUUCAGAUGCGUGAAACACCCAACUCAUAUCUGAGUGCCUGCUUGGUAAUGGUGGGUAUAUGUGCCUUAACCAUUCCUUGCAACGCCCCCAAACUGUCUUUACGAAGAACGUCACUGGGCAGAUAUGAGACCCUUUUGAGACCAGAUAGAAAACUUACCCAUGUUCACAUAAUGAAUAGAACCUGUCCUUAGGUUGUAUGUGCUAUCGUUUUUUGCAUAAGGGCAAACCCUUCUUGAAGCAUCUUGAACUCAAGACUUGUGGGUGACACAUUGGCCGUUGCUCCGAAAAUUUUCAUUGUAGAGUUUGGGCAAAAAUCACGAUUCUUGUCCAUCAUACAAGAGUUACGACCAUAUUGUCACCUCUCGAAGGGAGAGUUCAUCAUAUAGAUUACAUGUUCAUACAUUUAUCAUGCAUGAACCGGGUCGAAACGUAGGUCCCUUGUACAAGUUGUGCUGCACGAGAUUGAAGAAAAAUAAUGGAAGUGAACAAAGGAGUCAGAUAUAGGUUCAGCAUCAGAUUAAGGUUGAGAGCAUCAAGAGUGAAGUAGCGGGACUCAGAUCUGCUCGAACAAGUGUUGAGCAUCAAAUGAAAAGAGAAUGUCUGCACAGUUUGCUGUGGGAACACUGCUUGUUCACGUCCAAUUGAAGAUGUACCUUUCCUUUUCAAUCAUGAACAACAACAACAACGCCUUCAGUCAUCAACUAAUGACAACUCUGAUUCCUGUCCAGUCGCGCUGUUAAGUAUUCAUCGCCUCCACAUCAUCUAAUGGAACCAAACGACUACUAACCUCCUGUUCAUGGUGCAUUAGUCUGCUUUGAAGUUACCCCAAUUAUGAGCAAUUCCAGUUCAGCAGCACAAGAUGUUGGUCUAAAAAAAAAACCAUGAUCAAACACUGAAUUUCAACGCGGUAGAGCUCUCUCUGUAGAGAUUUAUUUGUGGAUCUGUCAAUGGCAAAUGCAAAAGGGAAUGUAUUAAUUUCAUAUGCUUUGAAACUUUUUCCACCGGUGGCACCAGCAAAACAUUGUAGUAGGCAGAAGAGUCAGACCUGGUCUGAUAAUAUUAGUAGUUGUCAAACUUCAAUGUGGCAGAGCUCUCUCUACAAAAAUCCAUUUAUGGCUCUGCAAAUUGGGAAUGCAAGAGGGGAUUUACUAAUUGCAUAUGCUACAAAUAUUUCUCUCAUCAGUUUCAGCACGAAGAAACUAUAGCAGGUUGAAGAGCCAGACUUGGCUUGAAAAAUAUGAGUAGACAUCAAACUUCAACGUAGCAGAGCUCUCUCGACAGGAAUCUGUUUGUGGAUCCGCAAGUGUGAAAUCCAAGAAGGAAUACAGUAGUUUCAGAUCAUUUAUGAUUUUUCUCCAACAGUGUCAGUAUUAAAAUGCAAAAGUAAAGAGAAGAUACAUGCCUAGACUGAAAAACAUGAAGAAUACUGAAACUUCAACAGAGCAGGACUUCCUCUAUAGGUGUUUGUUUGCUGCACUGUCAGUGAGAAAUUGAAGAGGGGACGAAGGAGUUUUAGAUUCAUCAGGUGCUCUUCCAAUAAAGACAAUGUGUGAUUCCACACGUCGGUAGUGGCGAUACUAGAAGUUUCUGGAUGCUGCCAAGAUUACCAAGCUGUUAGAAAGUUUUCUAACAAUCCUCAACCAACCAUAGCAACAUUGGAAGAUUGAAGGAUCUGCCAUGGAUUCUAGAACAAUGAUGAGAGGUGAAUCAGGAGAUGACUUUGACAGUGUGAACCCUUAAUUAUGUGGUAUAGCCAGGUCUCACGGCAUCAUCAAUUGCUCAAAAUAUCUUUGCCAAGAUGGGACAUUGCUCUGCCGUUUAAGUUGUCGACCAGCAUCCGCAAGAUUCCAGAAUUUUGCUUGACUCCGACAAAUUCCCAUGCAACCACCAAUUUCUUAGUGGUAUAAUCCAGAUAAGAGAUGUGAUGUCAUGGUGGGGUCCUCAACCAUUUCAAGUGAACAGUUUCAAGAAUAGCAAGAAUUGAGUCUGGAAGUUGGUGAGCAAGAGACAGGUGGAGUCGUUGAAGAAGGGUGUCACUGGCUAUAUUGUUCCCCGAACAUCUUCAGAAGGACAUGUGAUCGAAAAUGCUUGGCAAAACACAGAUAUUGCCAGAAAAGCUGAUUCGAGAAGGGUGAUGAACAGUCAAUCAUAUUGUUAUGGAAUUCUGCAUUUUGUUUUGGGAUCACAUCUCAUCCUUCAACGAAACAUGCCUUGCUUUUGUCUCUUUGUUGUUUUGAAAUCAACAGAUGUUUAGCAUUUUAUUCUGACAAAAUAUUUUGAUCAAACUACAACAUGCGAUAAAGGUUAAUCAAUCCGGAAGAUUAGAAGUGUUUUGAUUACAGAAAUGACUCUAUGCUUGAAAAUGACAUGAGGUGACCAAACAAUUUUGAACUCAUACCUCCUGAAACUGAACCACACAUCAUAUAGCUAAGUUUUAACAGUAUGCAUAAUGACAUGUAGUGGAUUCGGUAGUCAUGGACUCGUGAAUCAUGAUUCUUACAAGUCCCAAUCAUUACACUGGAUGAGGUCAAAAUUUAUCGGUUAUAACCGACCUUGCUUGAAAUGAGAAAAGGCCAUCUUUGAUAUCCCUUCACUUUCUAAAGAUUAUAUCCCUUGCAGUCCCAUUUUGAGCCUGGUAAAAUAUUUUCUUUCAAAAAAAGAAACCCUGACUAGGAUCACACCCCACACUGGGGGCAAAUGAGAGAUAUUUUGGAGACAUUGAUAUAAUUAAUGGAUAAAGGGGAAGGCUUAGAACAAAGGUCCAAUGAUUGAGAGAGAGCUAAAAGAAAACACAUAGACUGGGGGCAUAUAAGAAAAUUUUGAGGAAGGCUAUGAAAAAAAAAAAAAAGAGAAUGAAAAAAGGAAGUUGAAAUUGCCUUCACUUAAAUACAAGUCAAAGAUAAAGGAAGGAGAACGCCUAUCAAGUCUAUGAAGAGCAAAAGAAAUUUCAAUCAAGGAAAGGCACAACAAAAGUCAAUACCAGAAAAAAGACUAAGCUAUAAGCGUUGACUUUUGGUAUCCGUUAUAAAACCUAUGAUGAUUAAGGUUGGUUAUUCCUCAAAGAAAGUUGGAUUUGCAUUAUGACUUAUGUUAAGAAAAGUCGGAACUUUGAGGUUAACAAGGUUAUAUGUCGUUUCCUCUAUAAAGAUAACAAUAGAAAACAAGUUGAUGAAUAGUUGAUGUUGAUCCUAGGUCUUUGAAACCCUCAAACACCUUUUGAGCCUGUGAAAUUCCUUUCUUUCAUAGCCAUGAACCAUAGCCUGCAUUACAUGCUUUUUAAAGCCCUUUUUAAUCAAGCAAGCAACUUGAACCGAUAAAUGGCGCUCUCAAAACUUGAAGAGUUUUUCCAUAAGAGUCGUGACUUCAUGAAUUAAGUUACCGGUCGUUAUGCAUGUUGAUAAAAUUAUUGCUAAAAACAAAACAUGUUUCCUUCAUGAAUCCUCAAGUUUUGACUUGAGCCUGUUGUUUUCCUUGAAAUUCACAGAAGGUCACCUCACCAUAAACUAUCAAAUGAUAUACCCAAUAUCAAGGAUUCAAAUUGAUACAAAGAACCAUGGAAAAAGCCAUUUUUAAUCCUACAUUGGGUCAAUUUCUGUUUUCAAAAUGCAUGACAAUCAAAGGACUAUAUAUUUCGAAUAAAAUGUGUUGGGCCUUUGAUCAAAAAGCUUGAUUUUCAAAAGAUUUUAAAAAAAGACAUCUCUGAUUUUCAUUUCAACAAACUAGACUUUGAAUAGACAUGAUCUUUGAAAUAUGAGAGUUGAUUCCAGAACAAGGAAGAUUAUCAAACACAGAAGAACAUUGAUUGAGUAUGCAAAAUCGUUGAUAGAAAUGACAUUGAAGUCCUCGACACUCCUUGAAAAGUUGAGCAGCUGGGGGCAAUACAGUAGACCUUGAAAAGGAAAAACAAGCAGUGCUCAGAUCAGCUAUGAGGCAAUGUUUAAAUGAUGAAUCAGUGAACUGAAGACAAUGAUGUUCAAAGACAGAUAAUCAAUGAACGAGCACAUUCGGAUUACUGGGGCAAUGUCAUUCCAAAAUGGCCCAUGCUUUAGUGAAUCCUGUCGGCAAUGGAGAAACAACGUACCUGAAGGCACUUUCCUAUCAUCAUUUUUUGAAACAUGGCUCGCGAUCGAUGAGGAAUACACAGAUGAAUGUAAUUGGUGAAAAGAUGCACACCACCAAGACUGACUGUGGAACAAUGCUGCACUUAAAGGACAAUCUCAUAUUGUCAUUCUUUGAAACAUGGUUAUAGACAGAUGUUAUCACACAACUGCACUGAAUGAAUGUCGGAAAGGCACCCACCUCGAAGACUGAUUGUGGGACAUCUAUUCUGAAGCUCAAAUGCGCACUUCACCGCAUGAAUAUGGGUGAUAACAUGAACAUCAUUGAUGAUGCCAAAGCAGGUAUUUUCACGAUCUGAUUUGACAAGCUAAGAGGAAUCCAUAGAGAAAUACAUCGCGCUUACAAUGAUGAGCUGUUUACUGCAAAGCAUGAGAUACAUGUCUGGAUGACUUGGCAGUUCCAUGAAGGCUGGUGACCAUACAUACUUGAAUGGUGUUUCAACCGAAGGCAAGUUCAUGACUGAUUAACAAACGUGAUGGGUGUUGGCAUGAUGCACACAAUCAAUCAGAGGAUAAUUUCUCAGAAGAAGCCAGGAGAGAAAAUCUCUCAUGAUGAAUCAAGCAGUACUACACUUGGGGGCAGGGUCAAGCUUCAUGAACGAUGCAAGCAGUAAUUGUCGAAGACAGCCCGGGAUGGGCACUGCAUUUACAGCUGAGUGGAUGGCUAACACAUGAAUGAGCCAAUACAUCGGAAGAACAAAGAAAGCUUUGGGAUACAAACAAGGGCACCCUAUGACGAUGGAGCAUCAAAGAGGGGGGACCUAUUAUUUCAAAUCAGGUAAGGAUGCAUGCAUAUCAUCUAACCUCAAAAAAAAAAAAAAAAAAAAACCAUUUGCACAUAUUUUUGAAUUGUUACAGGAAAAUCCUUAAUGAGGUCCAGCAAGAUGGUGGAAAGAGAAAGAAGCAUUGUGGUGAUGAUAAUAAAGAAUCGGUUUUGAUCAUGGAAUAAAAGGACGAUGGGAUGAACCCUACCAUUAGGAAAAUCCCAAAGAAAUGAAUAGAUCAACCUUGCAACCGGGAAGCCUCGAGUUUUCAACCCUUGCAGUCAGGAAACACCGAGUUUUCAAACCCCAUGAUCGGGAAUUAUCAGGAAGCACCAAGUCUUCCAGCCCUUUCUUCUGUCAUCCCUUCAGAACUUCGCCAGGUAAGUCCUAUUUUUCACACUUGUCAUAUCACAUUUUUCCAUCUGGGUAGGUCACCCAUCAUAAUGAGACCAUUUUUGUUCACAUUUUCCACUGGGUGGUCACCCAUACAAUGAGACCGUUUUUCACAUUUUUUCCAUCCGGGUAGGUCACCCAUGACAAUGAGACCACACUUCAUCAUUUUUUUCCAUCUGGGUAGGUCACCCAUUACAAUGAGACCGCACUUCAUAUUUUCUCCAUGGGUAGGUCACCCAUACAAUGAGACCAUCAUUUUUCCGGGGUUCGUCACCCAUACAAUGAGACCAUCAUUUUUCUGGGUUCGUCACCCAUACAAUGAGACCAUCAUUUUUCUAGGGUUCGUCACCCGUACAAUGAGACCAGCAUUUUUCUAGGGUUCGUCACCCGUACAAUGAGACCAGCACUAGGGUUCGUCACCCGUACAAUGAGACCAGCAGCACUAGGUUCGUCACCCGUACAAUGAGACCAUCAUUUUUCGAGGGUUAGUCACCCGUACAAUGAGACCAGAAUGAGGUCGCCAGAUGGGAUCUCAUGUAGCUUUGGUUAAAGGGAAUCGCCAGAUGGGAUUUCAGGUUAACCGAGUUACACAUAUUUCGUUUUAGUUGAAUGAGGUCGCCAGAUGGGAUCUCAUGUAACUUUGGUUAAAGGGAAUCGCCAGAUGGGAUUUCAGGUUAACCGAGUUACACAGUUUAGUUCCAAUUGAAUGAGGUCGCCAGAUGGGAUCUCAUGUAGCUUUGGUUAAAGGGAAUCGCCAGAUGGGAUUUCAGGUUAACCGAGUUACACACAUUUUCGUUCCAGUUGAAUGAGGUCGCCAGAUGGGAUCUCAGGUAGCUUUGGUUAAAGGGAAUAGCCAGAUGGGAUUUCAGGUUAACCGAGUUACACACAGUUUAGUUCCAAUUGAAUGAGGUCGCCAGAUGGGAUCUCAUGUAGCUUUGGUUAAAGGGAAUCGCCAGAUGGGAUUUCAGGUUAACCGAGUUACACAAUAUUUUCGUUCCAGUUGAAUGAGGUCGCCAGAUGGGAUCUCAGGUAAACCCAAUGUGUGGGCAGGUCGCCCGUGAAAAUAGACUAUUGGGAGAGUGUGGGUCGGUCGCCCGUGAAAAUAGACUAGAGUGAGUAUGUGUAGGCAGGUUGCCCCAAGAUAAUGAAAUCAUUUUCCUUUUGUUUUCUUUACAAAGCUUACUAUGCAAAAUUUUAAGGAUUUUCGCUUCGUAAGCAUUGUAAAGAGGGGGCAUCUGUUGCUACCCAAUUUUUGACCCAUGUUUUUGAUAUUUUUUCAAAAAAAAUCCAAAAAUAGAGAAAACAAUGAAAAUCCAAAAAAUAUGUUUUUUUUAAUAUAUUCUCGUCAUUUAGCAUUUCAGCGUCGUCUAAAAAGAUUUUAAUUUUUAUUUAAAGAAUUUAAUUUUUCAAAAAGAUUUUCGAACGCGUUCGACUUUUCAGCGUCAUUUUUAAAAUCAUUGAUUUUCCGUAUUUUGAGUCGACGUUGAUAUUGCUCGUUUUCAAAAAAUACAAAAAAUAAUAAAAAUCAAAAUUUACAAAAAGAAAGAAGUUGAGGGACCAAGUUGAAAAACCUAGCAAAAUUUUUGUCUAUAAAUACUGGUUUCCAACACUUGUAAAGGGGGGGGGCAAUUUUGAAAUAUCACAGAAAAAAACACAAAACCUAAACGUAAACCUAAAACCCAUUUUUUUUAAGGCAGCCGCCGCCCCCUCCCCCCUGGUUUUAAUUUUUUUUCGACAGCUGCCGGCCACAAGAAAAAAAUCCAAGACAGCUCCCCGAUCCUCCUCUCGGCUGUUUCUCCCUUUCUUCUCCUUCGGCUACUCAUCCUUCAGAAACCAGAGCCGGCUUAUUCUCCCCUUUCCACUUUCAAAGCCAGCAGCCCCCACCUCUCCUUCAUUUCUUUCUCCAGCUUCUCCCCUCAACCAUGGCCGCCCCUAUUUUUUCAAAAAAAUAGAAAAACACCACUUGAAAACAAAGACAGCCCCGAACCCCUCCCUCUUGAUUUUCUUCUUCCUCAGCCGCCGGACAAGCCUCGCCCCAGGCCAUUUUUUUCUUCGUUUAUCUUCUCCCUUCAGCCGGGCGGAUCUUCAGCUCCUUUCAACAGAAAACAGAAGGAAAGCCCCCGCUACUCCCAUUUCCUUAUCUCCCUUUCAGCAGCGGCUCCUCCCCACAGAGCCGUUCUCCCACCUCCACCAAGCCACCGAUCUGCCACCCGAAGCAGAGGAAGAAGACGAAACCCAGCGCCCACCGGACAAGCAGCAGCAAGGCCAGCCACCGCUGUUCCUUUCCCCAGCAGCGUCGCUCCCCCUUUUUGCAACCGCCGGAUCCACCACCAGAAAUAGAGGAGAAGAAGACACCCACAACCGCCGGCCAUCUGAACAGAAGAAGAGGAAACGGAAACAAUCUGCAGAGAGGGGCAGAUCGAAGACGGCGGAGAAAGAAAGAACAAAAAAAAAACAGAUUUGAAAAAACUAAGAAAA